This 520-nucleotide ribosomal RNA is filed under the name uncultured Glomus. RNAcentral's name for it is "SSU rRNA". It matches the Rfam family "Eukaryotic small subunit ribosomal RNA", at positions 569 to 1094 of the family's 1831-position model. Lineage: Eukaryota; Fungi; Glomeromycota; Glomeromycetes; Glomerales; Glomeraceae. The record is from RNAcentral.
AGCAGCCGCGGUAAUUCCAACUCCAAUAGCGUAUAUUAAAGUUGUUGCAGUUAAAAGCUCGUAGUUGAAUUUCGGGAUCGAAUUGUUGGUCGUGCUUCGGUACGUACUGGCAUUAUUGGUUCCUACCUUCUGAAGAACCGCGAUGUCAUUAAUUUGGUGUCGUGGGGAAUCAGGACUGUUACUUUGAAAAAUUAGAGUGUUUAAAGCAGGCGCACGCUUGAAUACAUUAGCAUGGAAUAAUGAAAUAGGACGUUUGAUUCUAUUUUGUUGGUUUCUAGGAUCGACGUAAUGAUUAAUAGGGAUAGUUGGGGGCAUUAGUAUUCAAUUGUCAGAGGUGAAAUUCUUGGAUUUAUUGAAGACUAACUACUGCGAAAGCAUUUGCCAAGAAUGUUUUCAUUAAUCAAGAACGAAAGUUAGGGGAUCGAAGACGAUCAGAUACCGUCGUAGUCUUAACCAUAAACUAUGCCGACUAGGGAUCGGAUGAUGUUAAUUUUUAAUGACUCAUUCGGCGCCUUACGGG